Chrysemys picta bellii (western painted turtle) is the source of this 2619-nucleotide non-coding RNA. Lineage: Eukaryota; Metazoa; Chordata; Testudines; Emydidae. The record is from RefSeq and is a predicted model, not a curated record.
CUGAUCAGUGUUUGGGGAGAGGGGGCUGUGCAGGGACCCAGGAUGCCCCGUGAUCACCCUCCCCCCCUUCCCACAAGACCUAUCGUCAAAAUGGAGAGAGCUGCACUGUGGGAUUGUUGCUCUCAGUGCACUGCUGUCAUCGGGGAUGGAAGUGUUGCAAAUGUAAACACUCUGAUGCCUGAGGAAGCAGCGUAGCCGCACGCUGGGAAUGUCACAGACAAAUCACUGCAGCCCGGGUAAUCCAGGUGAAUCUUACCUAGCUCCACGCACACAAGGCCAGCCAGCAGGACAGCCAGAAGCGCCUUCAUCCUGAGCAGACCCUCAGCCUGGGCGGCCAAGAAGACCAAGAGCUGCUUGUUCUACUCUUCCCCUCUGCAGGCAACUGGGAGUCCCUGAGGAAUAAUGGCCUUGGACGAAACCGUCUUUAGAAGCUCUGGGCGGCAGAGAGUGAAGUGGCACCAGGGAAGUGAAGCAAGUCCGACAGCAUGGACGGUCCUGCAGUCAGACUGCUAGGCUGGGACGUGGGCGACCUGCACUCUGCCACAGACUUCCUGUGUGACCUUGGGUGGGUCACUUAGCCUCUCUGUGUCUCAGUUCCCCCUCUGUACAUUGGGGGGGGGGCACUGCUGCUCCUUGCCCCCUCCCCCUGUCGGAAUGGGAGCUCUUUGAGGCCGGGCUGCCAGCCACUCUGUGUUUGUACCACCCUGAGCAAUGGCAGGUGCUCCUGGAAUGCAAGUUACGAUGUUCUUUGCUCUCUCUUUCCCUGUUUGCUGUACAUUGGCCUCCAUUAAUCCAAUCCUAGCAGUGACAGGUUGGCAACUCCUCUUCCCCUCAGCAGCCUCCAGGCCUGGAAGAGUUUCUUUGCCCGUUCUGCCCUUCUCCAGGCCCCACUGCUCUCAGACUCGGCCAGCCUUCCACUCCAGGGCUGUCUAGGUCCUGAUAUGGCCCCUCCCCUCCGCACCCCCCACAGGCUACAGAGCAGGAACUGAGGCAUGGCCAACAAAGGGACUCACCUGAGCAUUAAGCUCAAAUCACCUGAUUCCCAAUCCUGGGCCUUGACCACCGGCCCAUCAGGAAACUAACCUCUUCCCGCCUCCGCCCUUGCCUGGUGCAAGCCCUCGUGUGGUAGGGCACAGCUGGUCACCCUGCUCUGAGCAAGCCUAGGUAAUAAUCAUAGAGGUCACGGUGAUGAGGAAAGAACAGGGACAGUCCACACUAGCUUUCCGACCGCUGCUACCGGAGCUGCAUCAAUGCAACAGCCAGAGGAUGGAUCUGCUUGGGAUCCAUCUGGGGAGAGUCUUCUGGGAUUUGCUAAGCUGCAGGGGAUGUGCUGGGAUCCUGGCCUGUUUACCCAGAAGCGGAAUUGUGGAGGAGCUGCACCGUGGCCCAGAAUCUUCCUGGCUAUUCGAAGUCCAAGGGAACACGAGAGUUUUUAAAGACGACACUAUUGAUAGUGAUUAUAAUGAUAGGAAACGGUUGUGGAAUGGAUCGAUGGGGGUCACGGCAGCCAACAGUUUAGGAGCUACUAGCCUCGGGCUCCAGCCUCGUACGUAAUCAGUCUGUCGCACAGUGAGUCUAUUGUAUUUUUAAUAACAAGGAAAGAAGCAUUAAAGAUCUGCUCUCCUGGGCUUGGUUGUAGUGACCGGGAGCAAAGCUGAGGUUGCCAUGGGAGGCAGAGUUUCAGAACAUCUUGGCAGGUUGUGUUGGGACUUGGUGUUCUCCACCCUCCCUUCCUGCUCAGCGAAGACAUUUUCACAUGAGCGAGCAAAAGCUGGGUGUGAGGGACGCACGGCUCAGCUGGGUGGGAGGCCUUCGUCAUCGCCUGCCCGCUGGCUAAUGGACCAGAUAACAGGGCGUGCCAGCUUUAUUUAGAACUGGGGUGUCGUCCUGGGACACGGCUGCACCCAGCUGUUCUCUCAGAGGACAAGACAACAGCUGCUUUGUCGUGUGUGCAUGGGUUCUCCACUCAUCCCCCGUCACUGAACUGGACCCGAGGCGAACCAGCACCAAAGAAGCUUGACCAACAAUCCUUCUAAGCCACCUUCAGUCGGUUUCCACUCUGGGCUCCCCAAUUCCACCCCCUCCGACUGCCAGAGAUGGGCUGCCUCCCUGCCGCUUGUUUUGCUACCAUCCAGCUCCCUCCUGCCACCCUAUUCUGGACCUUCAUCCCAUGCCCUGACGGCCUGCUAGGCGUCCACGCAAAGCAUUAGUCACUGGCUCUCCCACUCUUAAUGGUGAUUAUUGGGGUGCCUUUGACUCUUUGCUGGGCCCAGGUGCCUGCACCGUUAGGGCCGGAUUCUCAGCUGGAAAUAAAUGUUGCUCCCUUUACUUUAGCAGACCCAUGCGGAUUCACCCCGCCGAGGAUCAGGCCCUUACUUUCUGUGUGCUCAAUGGAGCUGCACCGAGCCAGAAAGGCAUGACUUUAGGUGAGAUGAGUCUGGUGGGUCUCUCCCCUUGGUACCUGUUGGACGUUUCUCCAUAUUAGUUUCUUCAGCCCAAUAGCUUCAUCUGGGGAGAUCAUAGAAUCAUAGACUUCAAGGUCAGAAGGGACCAUUAUGAUCAUCUAGUCUGACCUCCUGCACAACGCAGGCCACAGAAUCUCACCCACCCACUCCUGUA